AAAAGAACAGAGAAUCUUCCUUUGCUUUCAGAUGAAACUACAACCCAAUCGCAGAGUAAGUUAGAAGUUAGGUAAUUGGGAAUUAUUUCUUCUGCAUAAGGCUGACAUCAUUUACCCCUAUCUAAUAACUUCGGUUUGGUGGAAGGGAAGGAAGAAGGAAUGAUGGAAGAAAAAGGGGUUGGGAUACAUGAAAACUCACAACAGUACUAUACCUUUUUCAGGUCUCAGUGAAGGAGUUUGGGUGUUUCUCAUGAAGUGCCACCGAUCCCUAUGAGAAAUAUGUUUGUAGUGCUCCACGCCUGCUUGGAGAGUCCAAGAACUGCUAAAAACUGAUGGCCCUUGUCCAAGACAACAGGAAAUUUUCAGGUCACGUGUUCCUUUCCAGAGAGUUGUUUUGUGGAUACAAUGGCAUUCACAAGAUUUAGAGGACUUCCGCAUAAUUUUAUUUUCACAUACCAACAAUCACUUACGAGAGCCCUCAGCAUGGGGCAUGGGUCUGACUGCUGAAAGAAGUGUCCAUGCAAAUCUCAUUCUCUAUUUUCUGUAAUCACCACCUGAAAUACGUAAGUAAAACACACAGUCUAAUGUACCUUAAUGUUCAUCCUCAUACUUUAAAAUAAGCAUUAUUUCUUGGUGACUAUACUUGAGAAGUUUUCUAUUUAAACUGCGUAUACAUAUGAUACCAAUUUUUUUAAA
This 696-nucleotide long non-coding RNA is filed under the name Monodon monoceros (narwhal). RNAcentral's name for it is "lncRNA (ENSMMNG00015006053.1)". The record is from RNAcentral. Lineage: Eukaryota; Metazoa; Chordata; Mammalia; Artiodactyla; Monodontidae.